Molecule: small nuclear RNA, 108 nt
Filed under: Cynoglossus semilaevis (tongue sole)
Lineage: Eukaryota; Metazoa; Chordata; Actinopteri; Pleuronectiformes; Cynoglossidae
Source: RNAcentral
UCUUGACAUUCUCUAAGCAAACAGAAAAUGAAAAAGUAACAUAUACUAAAAUUGGCAUGGCCCCAGCGCAAGGAUGACACGGAAAUCAGUGAAACAUUCCUCAUUAAU